This 59-nucleotide microRNA precursor is filed under the name Nautilus pompilius. Its description in RNAcentral is "Npo-Mir-34_pre stem-loop". The record is from RNAcentral. Lineage: Eukaryota; Metazoa; Mollusca; Cephalopoda; Nautilida; Nautilidae.
UGGCAGUGUGGUUAGCUGGUUUGUGUGCCACGCCAACAACCACUAUCUGCACUCCCAUG